This 75-nucleotide transfer RNA is filed under the name Oncorhynchus gorbuscha (pink salmon). RNAcentral's name for it is "tRNA-Leu". It matches the Rfam family "tRNA". From Rfam's summary of the family: Transfer RNA (tRNA) molecules are approximately 80 nucleotides in length. Their secondary structure includes four short double-helical elements and three loops (D, anti-codon, and T loops). Lineage: Eukaryota; Metazoa; Chordata; Actinopteri; Salmoniformes; Salmonidae. The record is from RNAcentral.
GCUAAGGUGGCAGAGCCCGGUAAUUGCGAGAGACCUAAGCCCUCUUACUCAGAGGUUCAAACCCUCUUCUUAGCU